Molecule: ribosomal RNA, 478 nt
Filed under: uncultured bacterium
Lineage: Bacteria
Description: partial 16S ribosomal RNA
Rfam family: Bacterial small subunit ribosomal RNA
Source: RNAcentral
GACGAACGCUGGCGGCGUGCUUAACACAUGCAAGUCGAGCGAGGAAAUUACUUCGGUAAUUUCCUAGCGGCGGACGGGUGAGUAACACGUGGGCAACCUGCCUGAUAGAGGGGGAUAGCCUCCCGAAAAGGAGAUUAAUACCGCAUAAAGUCAAAUGAAGGCAUCUUCAAAUGACCAAAGGAGUAAUCCGCUAUCAGAUGGGCCCGCGGCGCAUUAGCUAGUUGGUGAGGUAACGGCUCACCAAGGCGACGAUGCGUAGCCGACCUGAGAGGGUGAUCGGCCACAUUGGGACUGAGACACGGCCCAGACUACUACGGGAGGCAGAAGUGGGGAAUAUUGCACAAUGGGGGAAACCCUGAUGCAGCAACGCCGCGUGAGUGAUGAAGGCCUUCGGGUUGUAAAGCUCUGUCUUCAGGGACGAUAAUGACGGUACCUGAGGAGGAAGCCACGGCUAACUACGUGCCAGCCGCCGCGGUAA